Molecule: ribosomal RNA, 440 nt
Filed under: uncultured bacterium
Lineage: Bacteria
Description: bacterial SSU rRNA
Rfam family: Bacterial small subunit ribosomal RNA
Source: RNAcentral
CCUACGGGGGGCAGCAGUGGGGAAUAUUGCACAAUGGCCGCAAGCCUGAUGCAGCGACGCCGCGUGGGCGAUGAAGGCCUUCGGGCCGUAAGCCUCUGUCCUAGGGGAAGAAUAAUAACGUACCCUUAGGAGGAACCCCCGGCAAACUACGGGCCAGCAGCCGCGGUAAUACGUAGGGGGCGAGCGUUAUCCGGAAUCACUGGGCGUAAAGGGUGCGUAGGCGGCCCUGCAAGUCAGGAGUUAAAUCCCUCGGCUCAACCGAGGUCAGCUCUUGAAACUGUAGGGCUUGAGUGCAGGAGAGGAGAGCGGAAUUCCUAGUGUAGCGGUGAAAUGCGUAGAUAUUAGGAGGAACACCAGUGGCGAAGGCGGCUCUCUGGACUGCAACUGACGCUGAGGCACGAAAGCGUGGGGAGCGAACAGGAUUAGAUACCCUAGUAGUC